GCAUCUAUUCGGUUCCUUAACCCAUUUAUUGAUUAGGUUGUUUGUUUUUUUUGGUGCUAAGUUUUUUGAGUUCUUUAUAUAUCCUGGAUGUGUGUGUGGUAAAAAUUUGCUCCCAUACUGGAGGCUCUCUCUUCACCUCAUUGAUUGUUUCUUUUGCUGAGAAGAAACUUUUUCAUUUGAAUCCAUCCCAUUUAUUGAUUCUUAAUUUUACUUCUUGUGCUUUAGGAAUCUUGUU
RNAcentral lists this long non-coding RNA (235 nucleotides) under Marmota monax (woodchuck). Lineage: Eukaryota; Metazoa; Chordata; Mammalia; Rodentia; Sciuridae. The record is from RNAcentral.